This 369-nucleotide ribosomal RNA is filed under the name uncultured euryarchaeote. RNAcentral's name for it is "bacterial SSU rRNA". It matches the Rfam family "Archaeal small subunit ribosomal RNA", at positions 350 to 714 of the family's 1478-position model. The record is from RNAcentral. Lineage: Archaea; Methanobacteriati; Methanobacteriota.
UCACAAUGCACGCAAGUGCGAUGGGGGGACUCCGAGUGCAGUCUUCCAAAACGGAAGGCCGCUUUUCUGCACUUUAAGGAGGUGCCGAAACAAGGGGUGGGCAAGACGGCUGCCAGCCGCCGCGGUAAUAGCCGCACCCCGAGUGGUAGUCAUUGUUAUUGGGCUUAAAGUGUUCGUAGCCGGACACACAAGUCUGCUGUGAAAUCCAUGCGCUUAACGUAUGGACAUGCAGCGGAUACUGUGUGUCUAGGAACCGGACGGCGUCGAGGCUAUUCCCGGGGUAGGGGUGAAAUCCUAAAAUCCUGGGAGGAGCACCUGUGGCGAAAGCGCUCGACGAGUACGGAUUCGACGGUGAGGAACGAAAGCUAG